This 1816-nucleotide long non-coding RNA is filed under the name Pelobates cultripes (western spadefoot toad). Lineage: Eukaryota; Metazoa; Chordata; Amphibia; Anura; Pelobatidae. The record is from RNAcentral.
CAACAAUAAUAAUAAUAUUACACAAUUAUAGCUCCAUAACCUGCCUGACAACGUCUAUGUAUGGAACAAUGUACACAAUACUACACAAUUAGAAUAUUUUCUCUCUAACUCUUAUCAGUAGCUCCGAAAUGCAGAAAUGUAGGCAAGCGGGGAGUAGGGGUGGGAGAAAGUGUGACAGUGCAAAAAGGGGAGAGAGAGAAACUGCAGGCAUGAAGAUUAACCAUGUGAGCUCCGUAAAGUAACAAGACAGAAGGACAGAGAUUUAUACGUUUGGAAACCAGAAAUCUUUGCUAACUUUCUCAUUUUCAGCAUAGCUUCUUCCCCUGCCCUCUCUUUAACAAUAUCACAAGCCAAAUACCCCUUAGCUGGUCUAGUAUGUGCUUGCCCCUUUUUUGACCAAGCGAGGUCUGCCAAGUAAAGGAGACCAAGUGAGAGGGAAGAAGAAGUAGGAAAGUCUACAGUGCUCGACUGACUAGUCACGAUGGUCUGUGCACCCGGGGGAGGUGGCCACAGACCGGAGGGGGCGAGCGUGGGUGACUAACACAGCUCUGGGCAACAAACACAGGAGAGAUAAAGGACAAAUGAAAAGAUGAAAGUGGUUACACUAACAAGAAGACAUUUGCAAAAAUCACAAACAUAGAGAUGGGUGUAAACCCCAGAAUCCAGAACUAGCCACACUAUAUACAUACACACACACACACACCAAGGGUACCCACACUGUAACAACAAUUAAACAAAAAAACACAGAAUGACAGAGAGUAAAAUGGCCAUGUACAUGUUAACACCACUAGUACCAAAUAUUUAAAAUGUAGCAAUCAAACAAAAUCCCAGCCCCACCGGCUGUAAUGCGUUCCCUGCCCGCUAGGCAGUCAAGCUAACAUAUAAAACCCAGCCCCACCGGCUGUAAUGCGUUCCCUGCCCGCUAGGCAGUCAAGCUAACAUAUAAAACCCAGCCCCACCGGCUGUAAUGCGUUCCCUGCCCGCUAGGCAGUCAAGCUAACAUAUAAAACCCAGCCCCACCGGCUGUAAUGCGUUCCCUGCCCGCUAGGCAGUCAAGCAAACAUAUAAAAUGCGUUCCCUGCCCGCUAGGCAGUCAAGCAAACAUAUAAAAUGCGUUCCCUGCCCGCUAGGCAGUCAAGCAAACAUAUAAAAUGCGUUCCCUGCCUGCUAGGCAGUCAAGCAAACAUAUAAAAUGCGUUCCCUGCCCGCUAGGCAGUCAAGCAAACAUAUAAAAUGCGUUCCCUGCCCGCUAGGCAGUCAAGCAAACAUAUAAACCGCGUUCCCUGCCCGCUAGGCAGUCAAGCAAACAUAUAAACCGCGUUCCCUGCCCGCUAGGCAGUCAAGCAAACAUAUAAACCGCGUUCCCUGCCCGCUAGGCAGUCAAGCAAACAUAUAAACCGCGUUCCCUGCCCGCUAGGCAGUCAAGCAAACAUAUAAAAUGCGUUCCCUGCCCGCUAGGCAGUCAAGCAAACAUAUAAAAUGCGUUCCCUGCCCGCUAGGCAGUCAAGCUAUUGUCUUUUAAAAAGGGGGAAAACACACACUCCGGCCGUCACACACAUUCAAACAAAUACAGGAGGCAGAUAGACAAUCGACAGGUUCACUUUAAAAAGGCACCCCGGAUGAGCUAAAUACCUGUCUCUAGUAGCCUUCUGGAAGCCGGAAGUGGACUCGGAGACAGACCGACACAAAACAGGAGAAUAACACAGGCAACGGCUGUAUUAUGGAGGUGAUCAGGCUCCGCUUGUCCCAUUUUCUGGGGGUCCGCUCUGGUCCUUGGUAUCCGGCCCUCCGAACCGGCAAAUCCGGGGGCCCCACG